GACUUUAUUCAGAGGGUCAUGCUGAAUCUGGGAGUAGGUAACCUUAGCCCAAAACUUCAGAGCUUGAAAAAUGCCCUUUUGCAGUAAAUCCUCUUCAGUCCAAGUCCAAAAAUGAAGUCAGACAUUCUUGAAAGUUUGGUAUCCCAGAAUAUCAAAUAUGAAGCUUAUCCGUCCAGUGCUGAAUUUGAUGCAGUAGCUGAAGCACUUUUGAAGAAACACCCAUGUAUAAAGGAGCAAGGUUCUGUUUCUGGCUUUUAUGGGUGGAAAAUAAGCUUGAAAUAUAAAAUGGCAAACUACCGCACAAAGCUGCGCAAUAACGGAUGCUCCGAAUGUGAACGCUGAAUGUGAAUUCCUUCAAGCGUAAACAAGGUGAUCUACGCACAUCCCCAAAUCAAGUGAAGAAAGCUAGAAGAGCAGAGUUGAACUUUUGUCCAGAUUAUCCAACAGGGCAAUCCCAAGAGAGCCUUGACGAAGAAAGGUUGGCACGUUUGUCUGAAGUGAGAAAGAGCAACAACCAUCAGGUGGUUAAGGAGAAAAUGGAAAAGACAUUUGCUUACAGGCGGCAUGAGGUGAUUGAAGAAGAGCCUUUCUUUGCUGAGUUCAAAAGAAGGUGGCCAGCUCUUUUCUCUGAGCAUGAGGUGGAAGCAGAGUUUACUCGCAUCACCACUGUCCCACAGAUAUCUAAAUUCAUGCAACAGCUGGAUCAUCACUCUACACAGCUGAUGACAAUCUUCAAAAGGAAAGGAGGAGCAGCAGGACAUAAAAUACGAAAUAUAAUGGCAGACUUGGAUACGGUAUUUUUAAUUUUAUUAAUUUUUGAUGAUGAAGAUGAACCAGCUGGUCACCAUAGCACAUUCCACCAUACCAAAAAAGUACCUAAAGUUGCCAUUUUUCUUUUAAAUGCAUUGUAAAAAUUAUUAGCCUGACCCUGACUACUGCCUGUCUACUGAAAGCACUAAUGGUUUACCUCAAUGAGGACCCUGUGAAUCUCAUAAGAGAGUACAUGGUAAGUAUUUUGGCCUUUGGUUUCUACUGUACUUUGUCUUCAGAAACGAAAAAUGUGAUGUAUGUAUGUUGUAACCGAAGAUUUAAUUGUUCUGUUUUUGAGGAUGUUGAAGACAACCAGGAGGCUAUGAACCAGACAGUCUUUUAAAUCUUUGCCAUAAAGAUGGAAGGUGCAGAGUCUGCAGAUGGCCUGGCAGAUGUUGGAAUAAUCAUUUAAGCAAUGAACUCCAUUCACAAAGAGAUACCCGACUCUACAGAAGAAUCUUCAUCAGGACAAAGGACGACGCAACAACGACACGUAUAGAACUUCUGAUCAAAGUUCCAAUCUACUUGAAAUCGUUUAGUUGCAACCUGAGUUUUACAUCGAUAGUAUAGUAUCGAUUCUAUACUGCAGUUUAUUGAAUAAGAGAAGGCGACCGGAUCCCUCAUUUAUUCACGUUGACGAAAAUAACUUUCAUUCCCUUCGAGACUCAUCAGACGACCACCAGGCCGUCCCGAGUUUCAGCUGACGAGCUGAGAAGGCCACCGGCAACUUCCACGAACCUGCGUUCCACGAUGCUCAUCAGAAGCCCGCAGAAAACAUUGUUUGUCGCCAUGCAAGAGCGAUCCAAGUAAGGCUAAUAUCUGGGCAGAACUUAGUUUUAUAUGUGUGUUUUAAUCUAUGUGAGAAGUGGUGUUACUUUAUUUCAUUAAGAUCUAAAUGCAAUCUGAAAUUCACAGUCUACACGGUCCUUGACCGCUGAUAAUAUUGCUUUGUUCUUUUGCUAUUGUUAGAUAGGUUGUGCAUUUAUUUAUUUUAUUUUUAUUUUUUCUCUCUUUUUUUCUCUUUACAUCACCAUCUGAACAUAUACGUCCACAUCGCAAUUUCAGUGUUGUUAAAUAUCUUGUAUCGAGUUAAGGCCUAGCUUGGAUUUAGUCCUUAAGGCAAGAAUCCUUUGUUUAGGCAUUCAUUACAUUCUGUGGACCUCCCCCAACUAAAUUGGCGCCUAAGAACACAGAGUUCAGGUCUCGGACCCACAGCCGCAUCCGGUGACCAUCCAUCGCCUGUGCGCUUGCGCAUAGCCUCCCUCUCACUUCCCCCAUCUCUCCAUUGAGCGCAAGCGCGUUUAUUUGCAACUGCGCAU
This is a long non-coding RNA of Clupea harengus (Atlantic herring), 2129 nucleotides long. RefSeq lists it as uncharacterized. The record is from RefSeq and is a predicted model, not a curated record. The transcript is spliced from 3 exons. Lineage: Eukaryota; Metazoa; Chordata; Actinopteri; Clupeiformes; Clupeidae.